RNAcentral lists this ribosomal RNA (550 nucleotides) under uncultured bacterium. Its description in RNAcentral is "bacterial SSU rRNA". It matches the Rfam family "Bacterial small subunit ribosomal RNA", at positions 355 to 896 of the family's 1533-position model. The record is from RNAcentral.
UAGGGAAUCUUCGGCAAUGGACGGAANNNUGGACCGAGCAACGCCGCGUGAGUGAAGAAGGUUUUCGGAUCGUAAAGCUCUGUUGUAAGAGAAGAACGAGUGUGAGAGUGGAAAGUUCACACUGUGACGGUAUCUUACCAGAAAGGGACGGCUAACUACGUGCCAGCAGCCGCGGUAAUACGUAGGUCCCGAGCGUUGUCCGGAUUUAUUGGGCGUAAAGCGAGCGCAGGCGGUUAGAUAAGUCUGAAGUUAAAGGCUGUGGCUUAACCAUAGUACGCUUUGGAAACUGUUUAACUUGAGUGCAAGAGGGGAGAGUGGAAUUCCAUGUGUAGCGGUGAAAUGCGUAGAUAUAUGGAGGAACACCGGUGGCGAAAGCGGCUCUCUGGCUUGUAACUGACGCUGAGGCUCGAAAGCGUGGGGAGCAAACAGGAUUAGAUACCCUGGUAGUCCACGCCGUAAACGAUGAGUGCUAGGUGUUAGACCCUUUCCGGGGUUUAGUGCCGUAGCUAACGCAUUAAGCACUCCGCCUGGGGAGUACGACCGCAAGUUG